AGAGUUUGAUCCUGGCUCAGAGCGAACGCUGGCGGCGUGCUUAACACAUGCAAGUCGAACGCGCAGCAGUUUGUAGCAAUACAGAUUGUGGGCGCGUGGCGAACGGGUGCGUAACACGUGGAUAACCUUCCUUCAGGUGGGGAAUAACCCAGUGAAAAUUGGGCUAAUACCGCAUAACAUGACGAUGGCUCAUGCUGUUGUCUUCAAAGGCGCAAGUCGCCAGAAGAGGGAUCCGCGGCCGAUUAGCUAGUUGGCGAGGUAAUGGCUCACCAAGGCAUUGAUCGGUAGCCGGACUGAGAGGUUGGCCGGCCACACUGGAACUGAGACACGGUCCAGACUCCUACGGGAGGCAGCAGUGGGGAAUCUUGCACAAUGGACGAAAGUCUGAUGCAGCAACGCCGCGUGGGGGAUGAAGCUUUUCGGAGUGUAAACCCCUUUCGACCCGGAAGAAAGCCCGCAAGGGUUUGACGGUACGGGUAUAAGAAGCCCCGGCUAACUACGUGCCAGCAGCCGCGGUAAAACGUAGGGGGCCAGCGUUGCUCGGAAUUACUGGGCGUAAAGGGUCCGUAGGCGGUGUGGCAAGUCGGUAGUGAAAUCUCUGGGCUUAACUCGAGGCCUGCAACGCUGACUGCCGUGCUGGAGUGUGGGAGAGGUGCGUGGAAUUCCCGGUGUAGCGGUGAAAUGCGUAGAUAUCGGGAGGAACACCUGUGGCGAAAGCGGCGCACUGGACCACAACUGACGCUGAGGCGCGAAAGCUAGGGGAGCAAACAGGAUUAGAUACCCUAGUAGUCC
Molecule: ribosomal RNA, 792 nt
Filed under: uncultured bacterium
Lineage: Bacteria
Description: bacterial SSU rRNA
Rfam family: Bacterial small subunit ribosomal RNA
Source: RNAcentral